AAUGAACGCUGGCGGCAUGCCUAACACAUGCAAGUCGAACGAGACCUUCGGGUCUAGUGGCGCACGGGUGCGUAACGCGUGGGAAUCUGCCCUUGGGUUCGGAAUAACAGUUAGAAAUGACUGCUAAUACCGAAUGAUGUCGUAAGACCAAAGAUUUAUCGCCCAGGGAUGAGCCCGCGUAGGAUUAGCUAGUUGGUGUGGUAAAAGCGCACCAAGGCGACGAUCCUAGCUGGUCUGAGAGGAUGAUCAGCCACACUGGGACUGAGACACGGCCCAGACUCCUACGGGAGGCAGCAGUGGGGAAUAUUGGACAAUGGGCGAAAGCCUGAUCCAGCAAUGCCGCGUGAGUGAUGAAGGCCUUUAGGGUUGUAAAGCUCUUUCGGCGGGGACGAAAGGUCCGUGUUAACACCACGGAUCCAUGACGGUACCCGCCAGAAGAAGCACCGGCUAACUACGUGCCAGCAGCCGCAGUAA
RNAcentral lists this ribosomal RNA (474 nucleotides) under uncultured bacterium. RNAcentral's name for it is "bacterial SSU rRNA". It matches the Rfam family "Bacterial small subunit ribosomal RNA", at positions 29 to 523 of the family's 1533-position model. The record is from RNAcentral.